RNAcentral lists this long non-coding RNA (419 nucleotides) under Brassica rapa (field mustard). Its description in RNAcentral is "long non-coding RNA (BRAP_LNC006105)". Lineage: Eukaryota; Viridiplantae; Streptophyta; Magnoliopsida; Brassicales; Brassicaceae. The record is from RNAcentral.
GACAUCAAUUUUCUUACAAAAAGUAACCACAGUAAGAAACCAGAAGAUAGUGACAAGAAAAAAGGAAGAAGACAGAGCACAAUACAUCGAUAUAAUUCAAUAAUAUAUAUAUAAAAUAUGGUAUAUGUCCUUAUUGUUUUGUUUUUUAAUUAUUCAUCCCCAAUGGACUAGACGGCUCUAGAUGCUCUUAGCCGUCGUCCACUUACAGAACUUCCUAUGCUCAAACUUGAUGAAUUCAUCUGCUUCCUUGUCAACAUCCACUUGUUUUGUAGCCUCUCUCCUACUCAUUCUCUCGCUCUGAGUCCUCCUCAUAUCCUCAUACUCCAAGACAUGGAUCGGUUCUUCAGCUGCAAAGGAAACUCGAAACUCCUUCACCGAGUCGCGUUGAUGACGAGGAUGAUGAUGAGAUUUGUGGUUAG